GAUGAAGAACGUAGCAAAAUGCGAUAAGUAAUGUGAAUUGCAGAAUUCAGUGAAUCAUCGAAUCUUUGAACGCACAUUGCGCCCCUUGGUAUCCCGAGGGGCAUGCCUGUUCGAGCGUCAUUUCACCACUCAAGCCUGGCUUGGUGUUGGGCGACGUCCCCUUUGGGGACGCGCCUUGAAACGCUCGGCGGCGUGGCACCGGCUUUAAGCGUAGCAGAAUCUUUCGCUUUGGAAGUCGGGGCCCCGUCUGCCGGAAGACCUACUCGCAAGGUUGACCUCGGAUCAGGCAGGGAUACCCGCUGAACUUAAGCAUAUCAAUAAGCGGAGGA
RNAcentral lists this unclassified non-coding RNA (329 nucleotides) under soil metagenome. RNAcentral's name for it is "partial contains 5.8S ribosomal RNA, internal transcribed spacer 2, and large subunit ribosomal RNA". The stretch from base 1 to 120 matches the Rfam family "5.8S ribosomal RNA", at positions 35 to 154 of the family's 154-position model. The record is from RNAcentral.